Molecule: ribosomal RNA, 429 nt
Filed under: Bacteroidota bacterium
Lineage: Bacteria; Pseudomonadati; Bacteroidota
Description: Bacteroidetes bacterium partial 16S ribosomal RNA
Rfam family: Bacterial small subunit ribosomal RNA
Source: RNAcentral
UAGGGAAUCUUCCGCAAUGGACGCAAGUCUGACGGAGCAACGCCGCGUGAGUGAAGAAGGAUUUCGGUUCGUAAAACUCUGUUGUUAGAGAAGAACAGCGCAUAGAGUAACUGUUAUGCGUGUGACGGUAUCUAACCAGAAAGCCACGGCUAACUACGUGCCAGCAGCCGCGGUAAUACGUAGGUGGCAAGCGUUGUCCGGAUUUAUUGGGCGUAAAGCGAGCGCAGGCGGUCAAUUAAGUCUGAUGUGAAAGCCCCCGGCUCAACCGGGGAGAGUCAUUGGAAACUGGUUGACUUGAGUGCAGAAGAGGAGAGUGGAAUUCCAUGUGUAGCGGUGAAAUGCGUAGAUAUAUGGAAGAACACCUGUGGAGAAGGCGACUCUCUGGUCUGUAAAUGACGCUGAGGCUCGAAAGCGUGGGUAGCAAACAGG